Molecule: non-coding RNA, 785 nt
Filed under: Liriomyza chinensis
Lineage: Eukaryota; Metazoa; Arthropoda; Insecta; Diptera; Agromyzidae
Source: RNAcentral
AUAAAGUUUUAUUUUAGCUUAAAAUUUUAUUUUUAAUUUAUUUUAUAUGUAAAUUUUUGUGAGAAUAUAUAAUUAUUUUAAAAAUAAUUUUAUUUUAUUUUAUUCGCAGUAAUUAAUAUUAUUAAUUAAAGAAAUUUAGAAAUAGUAAUAUUAAAGAGUAUUGGUUAAAUUUGUGCCAGCAGCCGCGGUUAUACAAAUAAUACAAAUAAAUUUUAUUAGUUUAAGUUAAAUUAUAAUUUAAAAAUUUUAAAAUAGAUUUAUUAGGUUAAAUUUUAAAUUUAUAAAAAUUUUAAAUAAAAAUUUAUUGAAGCUUGAAAAUUUUAUUAUUAAACUAGGAUUAGAUACCCUAUUAUAAAAAUCUAAUUUAUUAAUUAAAGUAGUAUUAGAUAUAUUCUUGAAAUUUAAAAAAUUUGGCGGUAUUUUAGUCUAUUUAGAGGAAUCUGUUCUAUAAUCGAUAAUCCACGAUGGACCUAACUUAAAUUUGUAAUCAGUUUAUAUACCGUCGUUAUAAGAAUGUUUUAUAAGAAAAAUAAUUUUCUUUAAUUUUUAUUAAAAUAUAUAUCAGAUCAAGGUGUAGCUUAUAUUUAAGAAGAAAUGGAUUACAAUAAAUUUAUUUUUGGAUUUAAAUUUGAAAUAGUUUAUUAAAAUUGGAUUUAAAUGUAAAAUUAUAAAGAUUAAUAAUUUGAUUUUAGCUCUAAAAUAUGUACACAUCGCCCGUCGCUCUUAUUAUUAAGGUAAGAUAAGUCGUAACAUAGUAGAUGUACCGGAAGGUGUAUCUAGAAUGA